Molecule: transfer RNA, 76 nt
Filed under: Candidatus Kerfeldbacteria bacterium CG08_land_8_20_14_0_20_40_16
Lineage: Bacteria; Candidatus Kerfeldiibacteriota
Description: tRNA-Glu
Rfam family: tRNA
About the family: Transfer RNA (tRNA) molecules are approximately 80 nucleotides in length.
Source: RNAcentral
GCCGUCAUCGUCUAGAGGCCUAGGACACAUGGUUCUCAGCCAUGGAACUCGGGUUCAAAUCCCGAUGACGGUACCA